CAAUUGCUCAUCGCUGGGCCCGGAAGAUCACACAGAGGGUUUGGCCUGGAGUGACUCCUCCAAGCAGGGUCUGUACCGCCCUGUGAGCUCAAGGAGGGAGAAGAGCUGUGGAGAAACACUCUGGUGUCUCUUGCAGAUAAAACAGUGGAGGGGCAGUAGGAGUAGGCAAGCCUGGGCCACCAUGGGCCACUUGUCUCUGAGGUGUGCAAAGAGGUCCCAGAGGGCCACUUGGCAGCAGGGCUGAUUGGGGGCCCUGCAUGGAGUCCCCUGUGUCUGUUGUCUCACGAGUCGGGGUCUACCAGAGACCCUGCAUGAUCCGCAGCAGUCCUGGCCCAUUAGACCUUCCUGUGUGAAAGAAAUGUUCUAUUCUCUGCUUUCCAACACAGUCACCACUGGCCGCAUGUGGCCCCCAAGGCUUGGGAUGUGGCUCUUGCCACUGAGGCCUGGAUGUGGGUGUUUCAUUGCAUUUGAAUGAGUCUGAACCUGUCUUUGAAGAGCCUAGGGCCAGUGUGUGCCACGUUCAGCUGUGCAGGGCAGCGUCCGCUCGUGGUUGGGUUCAGAGGAUCUGACUGCUGGUGCCACACAUGUGCUAGCUCACGCGAGUCUCACGACAGCCUUGCUCCAUGGAAGAGGAAGGGGAGCCUCGGGAAGGGUGACAGCGGUGGGGUCUUUAGCUGGAGUGGCCCAAGCCAUCGCGGAUGGAGGGAUGGAUUUGGCCAUUCGUCAAACAGCUACCGAGCACCCACUGUACAUGUGGCUCUGUGCUGGGACAUUCAGGAGGGCAAGAGAAGGAAUGCAGACAAACACCCGGGCCGGGCUCCAGCAAGCCCCGGGUUCCGGGCUAUGUCAGGUGCUCAGGGCUGAUCCUGGCAUGUCUUGCAGCCUCUGGCUUCCAAUCUGAGAAGGGUGGACCCUGGGCUCUUAUGUGAUGCAGCGGUAGGGGGGUGCCCUUUGCCAGCAGGUGGGAGCCAUCUGUCUGCAGAGCUCAGUCCCUGUAGAGGCGGUAGAGGUGCCCGUGGGAGGCCAGGGAGGUGAGGAAGGAAGCCAAGCCCGCAGCCCUGGGAAAGCCCAAGGAGUCGGUUUGAGAUUAUUUUGGGCAUCUCUACCGCCAAAUUGCUGGCUUCCACUGCUAGUCUUUCCCCUGGAGAACUGUUUUGAGCAGAAGCAAAACCACAGGGCGAGGAGAAGCUUAGAGGAACACAUUAACUCUUUGUGGACCCAGGAACAGCCUGCGGGCACCUGCGUCCUGCUUCUGUGGGUCUGGCUGCUGCAAAGCCCCUGGUGGGGUGGAGGGAGCUGAGGGUCACUGGGGCGGCCCUCAGGGCGCCUCUGUUCUAGUGGAUGACAGGAUGGUGGGGAAGCUGGUGCGUAUGUGGUGUAGACAUUCGUAUUCUAGAUCCAGAACCCCUCCCUCUUCUUCCCGCCCCCUUUUUUCUUCCUCCCCCAAGUCCUUCCCAGAAUCCCCCUUUCUGUUUCCUUCCUGGACAGGCGCUCACUGUUGUACUGAUGAGGUUGUAACAGAAACACUGGGAAGCCUCACAGCAGCCGGAGGGGGCACCAAAAGGAGCCCCCCUGUUUCCACCAUUAGCCAAGCAAACGGAGCAGAAUACUGAACUGCCUGAGUGCCACUGUCAUGGAAAACACACCCAGGAAAAUCCCCUCUGCACACCCAGCAGGGGUUUGCCUUGGGGGGUCCAGGACCCCACAGAUCUCUUUUCCUUUCUGUUGUCCUGCUCCGUAUUUUAGGAACUUCCCACAGUGGCCCCAUAGUAUGUCUAUUCACAGUCACAUUAGGAACCAUGGCGCUGUGCCGUGUACAUACCUCAGGUGCCGUUUGGCUUAGAUAUCGCUGUAGGCACUGCGGAGGGAACUCUAAUUAAAGAUAGAGAUGUCCAAGCAUGGCUGUCGUGCAGAGGGGGCUAAGGGUGCUGUGCAUGGUCAGCGUUCCCAGGCAGUGGUAGGAAGCCUCGGGGCCUGACACUGACUGAGCCCCCCUACUGCUCCCCCAGGAGGCCUGGAGGCUGACGAGGCACUGCCCUCAGGGCUGCCGCCCACCUUCAUCCGCUUCAGCCACCACUCCUACGCCCAGAUGGUGCGUGUGCUGAGGCGGACGGCCUCCCGCUGCGCCCACGUGGCCAGGACCUACAGCAUCGGGCGCAGCUUCGACGGCAGGGAGCUGCUGGUCAUCGAGUUCUCCAGCCGCCCCGGCCAGCACGAGCUGAUGGAGCCCGAGGUGAAGCUCAUUGGCAACAUUCACGGCAACGAGGUGGCGGGCCGGGAGAUGCUCAUCUAUCUAGCCCAGUACCUGUGCUCUGAGUACCUACUGGGUAACCCCCGCAUCCAGCGCCUGCUGAACACCACCCGCAUCCACCUGCUGCCCUCCAUGAACCCUGACGGCUACGAGGUGGCAGCUGCCGAGGGUGCCGGCUACAAUGGGUGGACGAGCGGGAGGCAGAACGCGCAGAAUCUGGAUCUGAACCGAAAUUUCCCGGACCUGACGUCCGAGUACUACCGGCUGGCGGAGACCCGCGGCGCACGCAGCGACCACAUCCCCAUCCCCCAGCACUACUGGUGGGGUAAGGUGGCCCCGGAGACGAAGGCAAUCAUGAAGUGGAUGCAGACCAUACCCUUUGUGCUCUCGGCCAGCCUUCAUGGGGGCGACCUGGUGGUGUCUUACCCCUUCGACUUCUCCAAGCACCCCCAGGAGGAGAAGAUGUUUUCUCCCACACCCGAUGAGAAGAGGGAGCCCCCUCCUCAGCACAGACUUGUCCUGCUUGGUGGGGCCCUGAUGAACUCCAUGCAGGGGGAGCCCUUCGCCUGCCUGACCCACCAGGAGCCUCUGCCCAGGAUGUUCAAGCUGCUGUCCAGAGCCUACGCUGACGUCCACCCCAUGAUGAUGGACAGGUCGGAGAAUAGGUGUGGAGGCAAUUUCCUGAAGAGGGGGAGCAUCAUCAACGGGGCGGACUGGUACAGCUUCACGGGAGGCAUGUCCGACUUCAACUACCUGCACACCAACUGCUUUGAGAUCACGGUAGAGCUGGGUUGUGUGAAGUUCCCCCCCGAGGAGGCCCUGUACACGCUCUGGCAGCACAACAAGGAGUCACUCCUGAAUUUCGUGGAGAUGGUGCACCGGGGCAUCAAAGGUGUGGUGACGGACAAAUUCGGCAAGCCAGUCAAAAACGCCCGGAUCUUAGUCAAAGGCAUUCGCCACGACAUCACCACCGCCCCAGAUGGCGACUACUGGAGACUGCUGCCCCCAGGUGUCCACAUUGUCAUUGCCCAAGCCCCUGGCUACGCCAAGGUCAUCAAGAAAGUCAUCAUCCCCACCCGGAUGAAGAGGGCUGGCCGUGUGGACUUCAUCCUGCAGCCUCUGGGGAUGGGACCCAAGAACUUUCUUCAUGGGCUGCAGAGGACUGGGCCCCACGACCCGCUGGGAGGUGCCAGCUCUUUGGGGGAGGCCACGGAGCCCGACCCGCUCCGGGCGCGCAGGCAGCCCUCGGCCGACGGGAGCAAGCCCUGGUGGUGGUCCUACUUCACAUCGCUGAGCACGCACAGGCCACGCUGGCUGCUCAAGUACUAGCCCCUAACCCAGCACCCGCCCGGAUGUGGAGACCCAGGCCCACCUCCGCGUCCCGGGCUCCUGGCUCUUGAUUUUGUCUGCCACAGACAUCCCACAAAGCCGCUGCCGUUUUAUUAAAGUGUUUUUACCCACUUUCCACUGGAA
This 3724-nucleotide small RNA is filed under the name Pongo abelii (Sumatran orangutan). Its description in RNAcentral is "retained intron". The record is from RNAcentral. Lineage: Eukaryota; Metazoa; Chordata; Mammalia; Primates; Hominidae.